GUCAACCCUGUCCGAUGGUGAGGCCCUCCACGGUAAGAGGUGCCAAAGGCACCCGCCUCACCGUCCCGCAAGGGAUAGGACAGGGGGGAGGA
This 92-nucleotide non-coding RNA is filed under the name unclassified sequences. RNAcentral's name for it is "DUF1874 RNA". It matches the Rfam family "DUF1874 RNA". Rfam says of the family: Hot springs metagenome only. Environment (Bison Hot Springs, Yellowstone) The record is from RNAcentral.